CCUACGGGUGGCUGCAGUGAGGAAUAUUGGUCAAUGGACGGAAGUCUGAACCAGCCAUGCCGCGUGCAGGAUGACGGCUCUAUGAGUUGUAAACUGCUUUUGUACAAGGGUAAACCUCAUUACGUGUAGUCAGCUGAAAGUACUGUACGAAUAAGGAUCGGCUAACUCCGUGCCAGCAGCCGCGGUAAUACGGAGGAUCCGAGCGUUAUCCGGAUUUAUUGGGUUUAAAGGGUGCGUAGGCGGAUUGAUAAGUUAGAGGUGAAAUGUCCGGGCUUAACUCGGGAAUUGCAUCUAAAACUGGUGAUCUAGAGAGUGGAUGCGGUAGGCGGAAUGUAUGGUGUAGCGGUGAAAUGCUUAGAGAUCAUAAAGAACACCGAUUGCGAAGGCAGCUUGCCAAAAUAUAUCUGACGUUGAGGCACGAAAGCGUGGGGAGCAAACAGGAUUAGAUACCCCUGUAGUC
RNAcentral lists this ribosomal RNA (460 nucleotides) under uncultured bacterium. RNAcentral describes it as "partial 16S ribosomal RNA". It matches the Rfam family "Bacterial small subunit ribosomal RNA", at positions 338 to 795 of the family's 1533-position model. The record is from RNAcentral.